This 2902-nucleotide ribosomal RNA is filed under the name Escherichia coli HVH 92 (4-5930790). RNAcentral's name for it is "bacterial LSU rRNA". It matches the Rfam family "Bacterial large subunit ribosomal RNA". Lineage: Bacteria; Pseudomonadati; Pseudomonadota; Gammaproteobacteria; Enterobacterales; Enterobacteriaceae. RNAcentral also lists the same sequence under 6 other names. The record is from RNAcentral.
UUAAGCGACUAAGCGUACACGGUGGAUGCCCUGGCAGUCAGAGGCGAUGAAGGACGUGCUAAUCUGCGAUAAGCGUCGGUGAGGUGAUAUGAACCGUUAUAACCGGCGAUUUCCGAAUGGGGAAACCCAGUGUGUUUCGACACACUAUCAUUAACUGAAUCCAUAGGUUAAUGAGGCGAACCGGGGGAACUGAAACAUCUAAGUACCCCGAGGAAAAGAAAUCAACCGAGAUUCCCCCAGUAGCGGCGAGCGAACGGGGAGGAGCCCAGAGCCUGAAUCAGUGUGUGUGUUAGUGGAAGCGUCUGGAAAGGCGUGCGAUACAGGGUGACAGCCCCGUACACAAAAAUGCACAUAUUGUGAGCUCGAUGAGUAGGGCGGGACACGUGGUAUCCUGUCUGAAUAUGGGGGGACCAUCCUCCAAGGCUAAAUACUCCUGACUGACCGAUAGUGAACCAGUACCGUGAGGGAAAGGCGAAAAGAACCCCGGCGAGGGGAGUGAAAAAGAACCUGAAACCGUGUACGUACAAGCAGUGGGAGCCUCUUAAUGGGGUGACUGCGUACCUUUUGUAUAAUGGGUCAGCGACUUAUAUUCUGUAGCAAGGUUAACCGAAUAGGGGAGCCGAAGGGAAACCGAGUCUUAACUGGGCGUUAAGUUGCAGGGUAUAGACCCGAAACCCGGUGAUCUAGCCAUGGGCAGGUUGAAGGUUGGGUAACACUAACUGGAGGACCGAACCGACUAAUGUUGAAAAAUUAGCGGAUGACUUGUGGCUGGGGGUGAAAGGCCAAUCAAACCGGGAGAUAGCUGGUUCUCCCCGAAAGCUAUUUAGGUAGCGCCUCGUGAAUUCAUCUCCGGGGGUAGAGCACUGUUUCGGCAAGGGGGUCAUCCCGACUUACCAACCCGAUGCAAACUGCGAAUACCGGAGAAUGUUAUCACGGGAGACACACGGCGGGUGCUAACGUCCGUCGUGAAGAGGGAAACAACCCAGACCGCCAGCUAAGGUCCCAAAGUCAUGGUUAAGUGGGAAACGAUGUGGGAAGGCCCAGACAGCCAGGAUGUUGGCUUAGAAGCAGCCAUCAUUUAAAGAAAGCGUAAUAGCUCACUGGUCGAGUCGGCCUGCGCGGAAGAUGUAACGGGGCUAAACCAUGCACCGAAGCUGCGGCAGCGACACUAUGUGUUGUUGGGUAGGGGAGCGUUCUGUAAGCCUGUGAAGGUGGCCUGUGAGGGUUGCUGGAGGUAUCAGAAGUGCGAAUGCUGACAUAAGUAACGAUAAAGCGGGUGAAAAGCCCGCUCGCCGGAAGACCAAGGGUUCCUGUCCAACGUUAAUCGGGGCAGGGUGAGUCGACCCCUAAGGCGAGGCCGAAAGGCGUAGUCGAUGGGAAACAGGUUAAUAUUCCUGUACUUGGUGUUACUGCGAAGGGGGGACGGAGAAGGCUAUGUUGGCCGGGCGACGGUUGUCCCGGUUUAAGCGUGUAGGCUGGUUUUCCAGGCAAAUCCGGAAAACCAAGGCUGAGGCGUGAUGACGAGGCACUACGGUGCUGAAGCGACAAAUGCCCUGCUUCCAGGAAAAGCCUCUAAGCAUCAGGUAACAUCAAAUCGUACCCAAAACCGACACAGGUGGUCAGGUAGAGAAUACCAAGGCGCUUGAGAGAACUCGGGUGAAGGAACUAGGCAAAAUGGUGCCGUAACUUCGGGAGAAGGCACGCUGAUAUGUAGGUGAAGCGACUCGCUCGUGGAGCUGAAAUCAGUCGAAGAUACCAGCUGGCUGCAACUGUUUAUUAAAAACACAGCACUGUGCAAACACGAAAGUGGACGUAUACGGUGUGACGCCUGCCCGGUGCCGGAAGGUUAAUUGAUGGGGUUAGCGGUAACGCGAAGCUCUUGAUCGAAGCCCCGGUAAACGGCGGCCGUAACUAUAACGGUCCUAAGGUAGCGAAAUUCCUUGUCGGGUAAGUUCCGACCUGCACGAAUGGCGUAAUGAUGGCCAGGCUGUCUCCACCCGAGACUCAGUGAAAUUGAACUCGCUGUGAAGAUGCAGUGUACCCGCGGCAAGACGGAAAGACCCCGUGAACCUUUACUAUAGCUUGACACUGAACAUUGAGCCUUGAUGUGUAGGAUAGGUGGGAGGCUUUGAAGUGUGGACGCCAGUCUGCAUGGAGCCGACCUUGAAAUACCACCCUUUAAUGUUUGAUGUUCUAACGUUGGCCCGUAAUCCGGGUUGCGGACAGUGUCUGGUGGGUAGUUUGACUGGGGCGGUCUCCUCCUAAAGAGUAACGGAGGAGCACGAAGGUUGGCUAAUCCUGGUCGGACAUCAGGAGGUUAGUGCAAUGGCAUAAGCCAGCUUGACUGCGAGCGUGACGGCGCGAGCAGGUGCGAAAGCAGGUCAUAGUGAUCCGGUGGUUCUGAAUGGAAGGGCCAUCGCUCAACGGAUAAAAGGUACUCCGGGGAUAACAGGCUGAUACCGCCCAAGAGUUCAUAUCGACGGCGGUGUUUGGCACCUCGAUGUCGGCUCAUCACAUCCUGGGGCUGAAGUAGGUCCCAAGGGUAUGGCUGUUCGCCAUUUAAAGUGGUACGCGAGCUGGGUUUAGAACGUCGUGAGACAGUUCGGUCCCUAUCUGCCGUGGGCGCUGGAGAACUGAGGGGGGCUGCUCCUAGUACGAGAGGACCGGAGUGGACGCAUCACUGGUGUUCGGGUUGUCAUGCCAAUGGCACUGCCCGGUAGCUAAAUGCGGAAGAGAUAAGUGCUGAAAGCAUCUAAGCACGAAACUUGCCCCGAGAUGAGUUCUCCCUGACUCCUUGAGGGUCCUGAAGGAACGUUGAAGACGACGACGUUGAUAGGCCGGGUGUGUAAGCGCAGCGAUGCGUUGAGCUAACCGGUACUAAUGAACCGUGAGGCUUAACCUU